GUAUAGCUCAGUGGUAGAGUGCUUGCCUAGCAUGCAUGAGGCCUUGAGUUUUAUCCCCAAUAC
This 63-nucleotide transfer RNA is filed under the name Urocitellus parryii (Arctic ground squirrel). RNAcentral's name for it is "Spermophilus parryii (Arctic ground squirrel) tRNA". It matches the Rfam family "tRNA", at positions 5 to 66 of the family's 71-position model. Rfam says of the family: Transfer RNA (tRNA) molecules are approximately 80 nucleotides in length. Their secondary structure includes four short double-helical elements and three loops (D, anti-codon, and T loops). Further hydrogen bonds mediate the characteristic L-shaped molecular structure. tRNAs have two regions of fundamental functional importance: the anti-codon, which is responsible for specific mRNA codon recognition, and the 3' end, to which the tRNAs corresponding amino acid is attached (by aminoacyl-tRNA synthetases). tRNAs cope with the degeneracy of the genetic code in two manners: having more than one tRNA (with a specific anti-codon) for a particular amino acid; and 'wobble' base-pairing, i.e. permitting non-standard base-pairing at the 3rd anti-codon position. Lineage: Eukaryota; Metazoa; Chordata; Mammalia; Rodentia; Sciuridae. RNAcentral also lists the same sequence under 1 other name. The record is from Rfam by way of RNAcentral.